CACGUAGGCUGUAGUGUAAGUCAGGGGUGAAAUCCCACGGCUCAACCGUGGAACUGCCUUUGAUACUGCACAACUUGAAUCCGGGAGAGGGUGGCGGAAUUCCAGGUGUAGGAGUGAAAUCCGUAGAUAUCUGGAGGAACAUCAGUGGCGAAGGCGGCCACCUAGACCGGUAUUGACGCUGAGGUGCGAAAGCGUGGGGAGCAAACAG
Molecule: ribosomal RNA, 208 nt
Filed under: uncultured Desulfovibrio sp.
Lineage: Bacteria; Pseudomonadati; Thermodesulfobacteriota; Desulfovibrionia; Desulfovibrionales; Desulfovibrionaceae
Description: partial 16S ribosomal RNA
Rfam family: Bacterial small subunit ribosomal RNA
Source: RNAcentral